RNAcentral lists this ribosomal RNA (324 nucleotides) under uncultured bacterium. RNAcentral describes it as "bacterial SSU rRNA". It matches the Rfam family "Bacterial small subunit ribosomal RNA", at positions 72 to 422 of the family's 1533-position model. The record is from RNAcentral.
GUAGCAAUACACGAGUGGCGCACGGGUGAGUAACGCGUAGAUAUCUGCCUUUUGGUUCGGAAUAACCCCGGGAAACUGGGGCUAAUACCGGAUGGUUCCUUCGGGAUAAAGAUUUAUCGCCAAAAGAUGAGUCCGCGUACGAUUAGCUAGUUGGUGAGGUAAUGGCUCACCAAGGCGACGAUCGUUAGCUGGUCUGAGAGGACGAUCAGCCACACUGGGACUGAAACACGGCCCAGACUCCUACGGGAGGCAGCAGUGGGGAAUAUUGGACAAUGGGGGCAACCCUGAUCCAGCCAUGCCGCGUGAGUGAUGAAGGCCUUCGGG